UACGGAGGGUGCAAGCGUUAAUCGGAAUUACUGGGCGUAAAGCGUGCGCAGGCGGUUUGUUAAGUCCGUUGUGAAAGCCCCGAGCUCAACUUGGGAAUUGCAGUGGAUACUGGCAGGCUGGAGUACGGUAGAGGAAGGUGGAAUUCCCGGUGUAGCAGUGAAAUGCGUAGAUAUCAAGUGGAACACCAGUGGCGAAGGCGAGUCUCUGGACAUUUCCUGACGCUGAGGCACGAAAGCCAGGGGAGCAAACGGG
This 253-nucleotide ribosomal RNA is filed under the name uncultured bacterium. RNAcentral describes it as "partial 16S ribosomal RNA". It matches the Rfam family "Bacterial small subunit ribosomal RNA", at positions 524 to 776 of the family's 1533-position model. The record is from RNAcentral.